GGGUGCUGCACCAAAGGGCCCCAAACUUGGUGGUGGCGGUGGCAAACGAUGAUCUUCUCGUAUCUGUUCAUUUCAUAUCUAUUAAGUAGCACGGUUGGAAUUUUUGUUUUUCCAUAAUUUCAUCAGGAUACUAAAUUGGUUUUGUUAUCCUUCAAGAUUUUCCUUGCAUUCAUUUAGUGGGGUUCUUUUACUUGAAAGGUUUUCUAAGGCACUAAUAUCAUAUUCAUUUGUUCUGCUCAAGUAAUUAGUUUUCAGCCCUUGGUGAUUUGAUAUUGCUUUACGUCUUCACCCCAUUAUAGGGUAUAGUCGAUGCACAGGGAUAGGGAAAAUAGAUAGAAAAAUAUGGUGAUUUUAUUUUCACCCUUUUUUGGGCUCGCUCAUUUGGGCAAAACAUGUAAUUUGGUUUUAUCAAACAUGGAUUGGAGUUCACUCUAAAUUCAUCAAAUGGGCCAGUCUUUUCUACUGAACUGCUGCCAGGGAGUAGAAGCUAAAGGCUUUUCUCUCUCAAGUAUUUUAGACAGAUUUUCUCUCCUUCAAGUAGUUUUCUUAGGGCUCAUCCCUAGCUUUCAUGCCGGUUCCUUGCGGCUUUUCCUACCUCUACCAAGGGAGGGGAAGCUACUUACGCCCACCUAGUGGUGGGUUUACUUUCCUCACCACUGAGUAAGCUGUAAACUGUCACGGGCUUUAAUAUGGUACUUGCCAAAAAAAUCUUCGCGUU
RNAcentral lists this unclassified non-coding RNA (718 nucleotides) under Hevea brasiliensis (rubber tree). Lineage: Eukaryota; Viridiplantae; Streptophyta; Magnoliopsida; Malpighiales; Euphorbiaceae. The record is from RNAcentral.